GAGAAUUCCAGCUCCAAUAGCGUAUAUUAAAGUUGUUGCAGUUAAAAAGCUCGUAGUUGGAUUUCGGAAGGUCUUUAGUGGUCCGCCCCUUCGGGGAGCGGGUCACUGGCCUCCUAUGUUCCUAACGGUCCUCAUCCGCGAGGGUGGGGAAUCAACCGCUAGGAUCGUUUACUUUGAGGAAAUUAGAGUGUUCAAAGCAGGCGUAACUCGCCUCCGAAUACGUUAGCAUGGGAUAAUGGAAUACGACUUCGGUCUUGUUUCGUUGGUUUCGCUUGGCUGAAGUAAUGAUUGAUAGGGACAGUUGGGGGCAUUAGUAUUUAGUUGUCAGAGGUGAAAUUCUAGGAUUUACUAAAGACUGACCAAUGCGAAAGCAUUUGCCAAGGAUGUUUUCAUUAAUCAAGAACGAAAGUAGGGGGAUCGAAGACGAUCAGAUACCGUCGUAGUCUCUACCGUAAACUAUGCCGACCAGGGAUCCGGAGAGUUUGCAUGGAUGACUCCCCGGGCACCUUGUGAGAAAUCAUAAGUGUUUGGGUUUUGGGGGGAGUAUGGUCGCAAGGCUGAAACUUAAAGGAAUUGACGGAAGGGCACCACCAGGAGUGGAACCUGCGGCUUAAUUCGGCUCAACA
Molecule: ribosomal RNA, 626 nt
Filed under: Vermamoeba vermiformis
Lineage: Eukaryota; Tubulinea; Echinamoebida; Vermamoebidae
Description: SSU rRNA
Rfam family: Eukaryotic small subunit ribosomal RNA
Source: RNAcentral